CUCAAUUUCACGCUAUUUUAUUCAAAUCACACAAUCAUUAUCGAUUUCCAGAUCGAUCUCCUAAUCCAUAUCGAUUUCAUCUCAAUUCGAUUCUGCAAAAUCCAAAUCCAUAUCGAUUUCCAUAUCAAUAUGCAAAAUCACGAGCUGUUCAUUACGAUCUGCAAAAUUACGAGUUGUUCAAUUCAUACUGAUUUCAUCUCAAUUCGAUUCUCCCACAAUUGCCGGCGUGUUCUCUGCAAUUCAUUCCACAAUUUCGUUUGAAUAUGAGUGAAUCGAUUAUCAACUUUUAUUUGAGUGUUUUUCCAGAAGGUUACUGCAUAAUGUGUUACAUAUUGCAGUCCUACAUAUGGUUGGUUGCAUUCAAUCCAGGAAGCUUUCUACAAGCUGAUUGGUGUCCAUGAAGGAGAAGGCCAUGAAUUUGAUGACCAAACCAUUGCGUCGAUGUAGAAAUGUGUUCCCGGGACUAGAAAUUGUGGCAGAAAUGAAUAAGAGAUCACUUAGUUCGUUUCGAAGUACUUGAAGAUUGUAGUCGUAUUUGUUUUUACCUUACCAAAUUGUAUUUUAAGUCCAUGAAUAUUGCUUUGUUACCACAUAGUAUUUGCAGUUGGCAUACUCUGUUUUUACCAGAUUGCUGCAUUAUGUGGUACAUAUUGCAGUCCACUGUAUGAUUAAUUGCACUUUAUAUAUGAUCUGCCUAAUGGUUAAA
Salvia hispanica is the source of this 706-nucleotide long non-coding RNA. RefSeq lists it as uncharacterized. The record is from RefSeq and is a predicted model, not a curated record. NCBI's taxonomy places the organism in Eukaryota, Viridiplantae, Streptophyta, Magnoliopsida, Lamiales, Lamiaceae.